AAUGCAAGGGCUAUAGCUCAGUUAGGUAAAGCACCUCGUUUACACGCGCACUAAUGUUUUUCAGGGGAGUCUAUCAUGCAAUCAAGAGAAUUGAGGUGAGGCAAUAGCUUACCAAGGCGAUGAUCAGUAGCUAGUUCGAGAGGAUGAUCAACCACACUGGGAUUGAGACACGACCCAGACUCUUACGGGAGGCA
This 194-nucleotide non-coding RNA is filed under the name Corchorus capsularis. The record is from Rfam by way of RNAcentral. Lineage: Eukaryota; Viridiplantae; Streptophyta; Magnoliopsida; Malvales; Malvaceae.